RNAcentral lists this ribosomal RNA (477 nucleotides) under uncultured bacterium. RNAcentral describes it as "partial 16S ribosomal RNA". It matches the Rfam family "Bacterial small subunit ribosomal RNA", at positions 28 to 507 of the family's 1533-position model. The record is from RNAcentral.
GAUGAACGCUGGCGGCGUGCCUAAUACAUGCAAGUCGAGCGAACAGAUGAGGAGCUUGCUCCUCUGACGUUAGCGGCGGACGGGUGAGUAACACGUGGAUAACCUACCUAUAAGACUGGGAUAACUUCGGGAAACCGGAGCUAAUACCGGAUAAUAUAUUGAACCGCAUGGUUCAAUAGUGAAAGACGGUUUUGCUGUCACUUAUGGAUGGAUGCGCGCCGCAUUAUCUAGUUGGUAGGGUAAGGGCUUACCAAGGCAACGAUGCGUAGCCGACCGUAGAGGUGGACCGGCCACAUGGGGACUGCGGGACGGCCCAGAAGGCUAAGGGAGGCAGCAGUGUGGAAUAUUGCACAAUGGGAGGAAGCCUGAUGCAGCAACGCUGGGUACGGGAUGACGGCCUUAGGGUUGUAAACCGAUUUCGCCUGUGACGAAGCGUGAGUGACGGUAAUGGGUAAAGAAGCACCGGCUAACUACGUG